Molecule: long non-coding RNA, 483 nt
Filed under: Vulpes vulpes (red fox)
Lineage: Eukaryota; Metazoa; Chordata; Mammalia; Carnivora; Canidae
Description: lncRNA (ENSVVUG00000011069.1)
Source: RNAcentral
UUGGCAUUCUAUAUACUCAAUCUGAAACUUUACAACACUUCUUAUAAAUAAGCAUUAUUUUCCUCUUUGAGCCUCAGCUAACUUAAAGGUCCAAAGUAACACAAUCAAGUUAUAAUACUGACAUCUAUCUCCAUGGGAGGUGUUGACAUUUUGCUGAAACCUUCCAAGACGGGAACUCCUGCUGUGGAUAGGAGAUGCCAUUUCAUUGAAAAUGAGAAAUCAGAAGUCAAAUAUACUAGCUCAAAUAUGCAGAGGUCAAGAGACAGUGUUGCAAUUUCAACAGUGACAGCAGUAACAGAAUUUUUGUCUGAUAAGUUUUGUUGGCUUUUAAGCUAUAAUGUUGGUGUCUCCAAAAGUUCAGAUGUCAUAUGGAAGCCUACAAGGAAAGCCUGUGAUGCUAUGGAAAAUGUAAAGCCUCAUGUUAAAAGAUAAGGUUUUUUGAAGAAAAGAGUAGAGAAUAAAGAGAAAAUGAUCCAUCUGGCA